Molecule: long non-coding RNA, 313 nt
Filed under: Homo sapiens (human)
Lineage: Eukaryota; Metazoa; Chordata; Mammalia; Primates; Hominidae
Description: HDAC9 antisense RNA 1 (HDAC9-AS1)
Source: RNAcentral
CCUAGGUUGUCAGAUUCUUCAUCAAUCUCAGAAAAGAUAAUAAAAAAGAAGACAUCAAGUUCAUGUUUGGCUAUAGGGAGAGCAAGUAACUUUCAGGGAAAAAAAAAAUUAUACCAGUACAUCAGGGCAGGGCUCAAGACCUUACAGUGGAAGAGUUAUGCUCUCCAUAAACAAUAUGACCUUCCAGGAGAGAAGAAAGAAUAGCGAUGACGACUGAAGACAUCAAUUCUUCAAAUAGAUACUUCGUGUCUGUAGAACGCAGGUCUCCUAUUUCCUAGUUUGUGUUUCUUCCAAUAAACUCCUUGAAAGCUCA